UACGGGGGGGGCAAGCGUUGUUCGGAAUUACUGGGCGUAAAGGGCCAGUAGGCGGCCAACUAAGUCCGACGUGAAAUCCCAAGGCUUAACCUUGGAACUGCGUCGGAUACUGGAUGGCUUGAAUUCGGGAGAGGGAUGCAGAAUUCCUGGUGUAGCGGUGAAAUGCGCAGAUAUCAAGAGGAACACCUGAGGUGAAGACGGGUUGCUGGGCUGACACUGACGCUGAGGCGCGAAAGCCAGGGGAGCAAACGGG
RNAcentral lists this ribosomal RNA (253 nucleotides) under uncultured bacterium. Its description in RNAcentral is "partial 16S ribosomal RNA". It matches the Rfam family "Bacterial small subunit ribosomal RNA", at positions 524 to 776 of the family's 1533-position model. The record is from RNAcentral.